Molecule: long non-coding RNA, 455 nt
Filed under: Numida meleagris (helmeted guineafowl)
Lineage: Eukaryota; Metazoa; Chordata; Aves; Galliformes; Numididae
Description: lncRNA (ENSNMEG00000020214.1)
Source: RNAcentral
CCGUUUGUUGAGAGAUUUUGAAAGUAUUUAAUCUCCAAAACACCACUGAGAAGUGCGAUUUGGUGCACAGAGGCAAAACAAUUCCACAUUUGUGCUUUUCAGUUGAUACAGACAGAGGAAAGCUACUUCUCCAGACAGACUGUUGCUGCUUUGGAACGUACACAAGGGUCAGCGAUUUGGAUCCUGCUUGUUCCCCAGGGACCUUUGGGUUGAGAAUGGGAGAAGAUGGCAUUUGGACACCAGUGUGUUUGAUUCCCAGAGAACCCCUAAAUCCAUUUCAGAAGUGCCAUUGUCCUCUAGGGAGUGAUGAAUAAGAAAAGGAAGAGCCAGAAGCAUCCUCAGGUGGUGUGAAGAGUGAAAGUUCCAUCAAGAAGAGGAGAGUCAGGUGCAGACUGAACUGGCCCCUGUCAAUCAUUUGCUCUGGAAACAUUUGGAAACAUGCAUGGGCUGCCACU